This 253-nucleotide ribosomal RNA is filed under the name uncultured bacterium. RNAcentral's name for it is "partial 16S ribosomal RNA". It matches the Rfam family "Bacterial small subunit ribosomal RNA", at positions 524 to 776 of the family's 1533-position model. The record is from RNAcentral.
UACGGAGGGUGCGAGCGUUAAUCGGAAUUACUGGGCGUAAAGGGUGCGUAGGUGGUAUGGUAAGUUAUCUGUAAAAUCCCUGGGCUCAACCUGGGCAGGUCAGAUAAUACUGCUGUACUCGAGUAUGGGAGAGGGCAGUGGAAUUUCCGGUGUAGCGGUGAAAUGCGUAGAGAUCGGAAGGAACACCAGUGGCGAAGGCGGCUGCCUGGCCUAAUACUGACACUGAGGCACGAAAGCGUGGGGAGCAAACAGG